RNAcentral lists this transfer RNA (76 nucleotides) under Flavobacteriaceae bacterium. RNAcentral describes it as "tRNA-Pro". It matches the Rfam family "tRNA". Rfam says of the family: Transfer RNA (tRNA) molecules are approximately 80 nucleotides in length. Their secondary structure includes four short double-helical elements and three loops (D, anti-codon, and T loops). The record is from RNAcentral. Lineage: Bacteria; Pseudomonadati; Bacteroidota; Flavobacteriia; Flavobacteriales; Flavobacteriaceae.
CUAGGUGUAGCUUAGUGGCUAAAGCACGUGGUUUGGGACCACGGGGACGGGAGUUCGAAUCUCUCUACCUAGACCA